This 502-nucleotide ribosomal RNA is filed under the name uncultured Glomeromycotina. Its description in RNAcentral is "SSU rRNA". It matches the Rfam family "Eukaryotic small subunit ribosomal RNA", at positions 591 to 1097 of the family's 1831-position model. The record is from RNAcentral. Lineage: Eukaryota; Fungi; Glomeromycota.
CCAAUAGCGUAUAUUAAAGUUGUUGCAGUUAAAAAGCUCGUAGUUGAAUUUCGGGAUCAAUAUAUUGGUCAUGCUUAGGUAUGUACUGGUAUUAUUGAUUUCUCCCUUCUGAAGAACCAUAAUGUCAUUAAUUUGAUGUCAUGGGGAAUCAGGACUGUUACUUUGAAAAAAUUAGAGUGUUUAAAGCAGGCUUUCGCUUGAAUACAUUAGCAUGGAAUAAUGAAAUAGGACGUUUGAUUCUAUUUUGUUGGUUUCUAGGAUCGACGUAAUGAUUAAUAGGGAUAGUUGGGGGCAUUAGUAUUCAAUUGUCAGAGGUGAAAUUCUUGGAUUUAUUGAAGACUAACUACUGCGAAAGCAUUUGCCAAGGAUGUUUUCAUUAAUCAAGAACGAAAGUUAGGGGAUCGAAGACGAUCAGAUACCGUCGUAGUCUUAACCAUAAACUAUGCCGACUAGGGAUCGGAUGAUGUUAAUUUUAAUGACUCAUUCGGCGCCUUACGGGAAA